Molecule: ribosomal RNA, 531 nt
Filed under: uncultured bacterium
Lineage: Bacteria
Description: bacterial SSU rRNA
Rfam family: Bacterial small subunit ribosomal RNA
Source: RNAcentral
AGAGUUUGAUCAUGGCUCAGGACGAACGCUGGCGGCGUGCUUAACACAUGCAAGUCGAGCGAGAACCGGUCCUUCGGGACCGGGGAAAGCGGCGAACGGGUGAGUAACACGUGGGUAAUCUGCCCUCGGCACUGGGAUAGCCCGGGGAAACCCGGAUUAAUACCGGAUAGCCUUUCGAGCCUUCGGGCUCGUCAGAAAAGGUAGCUUCGGCCUCCGGCCGAGGAGGAGCUCGCGGCGGAUUAGCUUGUUGGUGAGGUAACGGCUCACCAAGGCGACGAUCCGUAGCUGGUCUGAGAGGACGAUCAGCCACACUGGGACUGAGACACGGCCCAGACUCCUACGGGAGGCAGCAGUAGGGAAUCUUGCGCAAUGGGCGAAAGCCUGACGCAGCGACGCCGCGUGCGGGAAGAAGGCCUUCGGGUUGUAAACCGCUUUCAGGAGGGACGAAGCCACUCGGGUUAAUAGCCCAGAGGGUGACGGUACCUCCAGAAGAAGCCCCGGCUAACUACGUGCCAGCAGCGGCGGUAAUUC